RNAcentral lists this ribosomal RNA (112 nucleotides) under Echinococcus canadensis. RNAcentral's name for it is "partial 5.8S ribosomal RNA". It matches the Rfam family "5.8S ribosomal RNA", at positions 1 to 113 of the family's 154-position model. Rfam says of the family: 5.8S ribosomal RNA (5.8S rRNA) is a component of the large subunit of the eukaryotic ribosome. It is transcribed by RNA polymerase I as part of the 45S precursor that also contains 18S and 28S rRNA. Functionally, it is thought that 5.8S rRNA may be involved in ribosome translocation. The record is from RNAcentral. Lineage: Eukaryota; Metazoa; Platyhelminthes; Cestoda; Cyclophyllidea; Taeniidae.
AACUGUGUGCGGUGGAUCACUUGGCUCGUGCGUCGAUGAAGAGUGCAGCCAACUGUGUGAAUUAAUGUGAAUCGCAGACUGCUUUGAACAUCGACAUUUCGAACGCAUCUAG